CCUGGGGAUCUGCCCAGUCGAGGGGGAUCCCUUCUGGAAACGGUAGCUAAUACCGCAUACGCCCUACGGGGGAAAGCAGGGGACCUUCGGGCCUUGCGCGAUUGGAUGAACCCAGGUGGGAUUAGCUAGUUGGUGAGGUAAUGGCUCACCAAGGCGACUAUCCCUAUCUGGUCUGAGAGGAUGAUCACCCACUCUGGAACUGAGACACGGUCCAGACUCCUACGGGAGGCAGCAGUGGGGAAUAUUGCACAAUGGGGGAAACCCUGAUGCAGCCAUGCCGCGUGUGUGAAGAACGCCUUCGGGUUGUAAAGCACUUUCAGCGAGGAGGAUAGGUUGGUAGCUAAUAACUGCCAGCUGUGACGUUACUCGCAGAAGAAGCACCGGCUAACUCCGUGCCAGCAGCCGCGGUAAUACGGAGGGUGCAAGCGUUAAUCGGAAUUACUGGGCGUAAAGCGCACGCAGGCGGUUGGAUAAGUUAGAUGUGAAAGCCCCGGGCUCAACCUGGGAAUUGCAUUUAAAACUGUCCAGCUAGAGUCUUGUAGAGGGGGGUAGAAUUCCAGGUGUAGCGGUGAAAUGCGUAGAGAUCUGGAGGAAUACCGGUGGCGAAGGCGGCCCCCUGGACAAAGACUGACGCUCAUGUGCGAAAGCGUGGGGAGCAAACGGGAUUAGAUACCCUGGUAGUCCACGCCGUACACGAUGUCGAUUUGGAGGCUGUGUCCUUGAGACGUGGCUUCCGGAGCUAACGCGUU
Molecule: ribosomal RNA, 749 nt
Filed under: uncultured bacterium
Lineage: Bacteria
Description: bacterial SSU rRNA
Rfam family: Bacterial small subunit ribosomal RNA
Source: RNAcentral